UGGGAGGGAGAUCUAAACCUUCAGAGAGGCAGACACGCCUGGGAAACCAGAAGAGACUGCACUCUGCACACAUUACUGAAUCCAGAGGAAAACACCAAACGACAUCUGGAACCCUGGUGCACGGAAGGUCCUGGAAAGGGCUGCGCAGAUCUUCCUGGUUGCUACCGCCAUGGAGAGCUCGUAAGCAACACCCCAUGAGCAAACUUGAGCCUCGGGACCACAGGUAAGACAAACCUCCCUACUCCAAGAAACCUGCCUAGUGAACUCAGGACACAGGCCCACAGGAACAGCUGAAGACCUGUAGAUAGGAAAAACUACACGCCUGAAAGCAGAACACUCUGUUCCCAUAACUGGCUGAAAGAAAACAGGAAAA
Molecule: long non-coding RNA, 373 nt
Filed under: Rattus norvegicus (Norway rat)
Lineage: Eukaryota; Metazoa; Chordata; Mammalia; Rodentia; Muridae
Description: long non-coding RNA NONRATT029698
Source: RNAcentral